RNAcentral lists this unclassified non-coding RNA (290 nucleotides) under Hevea brasiliensis (rubber tree). Lineage: Eukaryota; Viridiplantae; Streptophyta; Magnoliopsida; Malpighiales; Euphorbiaceae. The record is from RNAcentral.
UCGAAUUCAUUCGUUCGUCUCUACCGAAGUACUUGAGUGAAACAAGAAGAAGAAAAUAUGUUGGGGAUUAUUAGGCAAAAAGCUUUUGCGCAGUCCCUGCAGAGGAUUCGGCCUGCUACUUCAGCAUGGAGAGGUUAUUCAUCCGCCGCUAAAGAGAUGACUGUUAGAGAAGCACUGAACUCUGCUCUCGACGAGGAAAUGUCUGCUGAUCCUAAAGUCUUCUUGAUGGGAGAAGAGGUUGGGGAAUAUCAGGGCGCAUAUAAGAUAUCUAAAGGGCUUUUGGAGAAGUA